Molecule: non-coding RNA, 11911 nt
Organism: Pelobates cultripes (western spadefoot toad)
Lineage: Eukaryota; Metazoa; Chordata; Amphibia; Anura; Pelobatidae
Source: the annotation of a GenBank genome assembly
GGCACGUCUGACUCGGCUGAGAUGAGAAUCAGGAUCAGAAGCUUAUGGAAAACCUCAACAUGACUUAGUCACUGUACGUAAUGUUUACAGAUGAACUAUACAAUGACAUCUAGAAAUAUUAUGCUGUAACUAAAACGCAAAUGAUCAUCUAUUUUUUUUUUUAUUCAUUAACAUCUUCACUCCUGACCACCUUUGAUUGACAAAAAUAUUAGAACUAUUAGCAUAACAUGUAUGUAAAGCAAGGCAUGCGUAGGUAGCAUAUAAACAUAUCAUAAUACAGCACUUUUUGCGUAUGUAAUGCUUUGCAAACAAAUGUAAAAAUUUUAUUUCAUUAAUUCACACAUUUUUUAUUUCACUUACAUGUUCAGCUUUUAUUAAAUAUUUAGGAAAUUAAAAUGUUUAGACAUUAUAUAGUGUCAUUUAUCUUGCAAUAUUUCACACAGGGUCUGAAACUUUAGUAUAAAUGAAACAAUGCUAUUUGUUUUAAUCAAAUACAAUAGGUAUGACAAAAAUAGAUAAAGAAAAAAUACCUUGCUUACAUGUAUUUUUACAGAUGCUGUAGGCAUUAUUAGCAGGACAUCUUACUAUAAAUGUCAACAGAUUGUAAAAAGAUUGUCUGCAUUUGAACAUAAUGCCAACAUACAGUAAAUACAGUUAAUGUUACCGGGUAACACUGAAGAAGCCACGCUUUAAAUCCCAUCACAUUAAAUCAUAUAUUUAUGAAAUAAAGGUACUUAAAACUGCUAUAACAAUCUUUCUGCUAAUGUAAUGCUAAUAGUAUAAUGGCAGAGUCCUGUCACUCAUUGCCCCCUCCCUGAUUAUAGGAAUUAUACGACCAACUGAAACUUCCUGUACUGUUUGAAAGCAGAUGGUGGGCUUACAUGUCGGCAUUAUAUCAGUGACUAAUGGCUUCUGAAAGAGAAUUGUGUUCCUUUACAGGCUGGUAAUCAUAAAUGAGGGUGAGUAAAACUUUAUGGACUCAAUUUCAUUCUGCAAAAUACAUAAAAAUAAAAAUGUUUAUACUUGAUUGAGCUAGGGAAGUGGUUGAUGUGUUCUAUUACAUUUUUAGAAUUAUAAAUUUAUACUUCAGUUUAGCACAGUCAAUGAAAUGAAAAGUCGAGGUAAAAAAAAAUAAAAAAUACAUAUUUCAAUGCACAUGAAACAGGCAGUUAAAGGGAUAUCCUAAGCACCAAAGCUACUUUAGAUUAAGUAGUUUUGAUAUACAGAUCGCAACCCUGAAGGUUACCUGCUCAAGUUUCUGCCAUUUAGUAAUUAUAAUCUUAAAGCACAAAAAGUUUAUUUUAGAAGUUCUUAUCUCGUGCUCUGAUAAUUGAACUUUAACACACACAGGAGUCUGCUGUAGACUCUACCAGGUAAUUAUCAGAGUAGGAAGUAACAACUCCUAAACACACUGUGUAAUAAGUUUAAAUGUUAGACCUAUGUUUCGUAAAGUGUGUAGGGAGACUUGGUGAAUCACAUACAUAGUAAGUAUGGCUAGGGCUGCACAAACAAUGUGAUUUAACUCCUAAAUGACAGAUAAUUGAGCAGUGGGAUGUUAGGGGCAUGAUGAAUACAUCAAAAUGACUUUGUUAAGUUAAAGGGUAUAUGUUAAGACAAAUACAACUUAAAGGGACACUAUAGUCAUCAGAACAACUACAGCUUAUUGUAUUUUUUUUUUCUGGUGAAUAUAAUCAUUCUCUUCAGGCUGUUUGAAGGAAAUACUGUCUUUUCUGAGAAAAUUCAGUAUUUAAAUUACAGCCUAGGGAUACCUUCACUGGCUACUUGUCAGAUGGCUACUAGAGGUGCUAUCUGUGGAAGUGCUGCACAAUGCAGCACCAGUGUUAAUUUUGUUGACUAACAAUUUUAGUCAAAUUUUAGUCAACUAAACGUUUUGAGAUUUAGUCAACUAAAACUAGACUAAAACUAAAACAAUUCAGAUUACUAAAUACGACUAAAACUAAAAUGUCAUUUUUGUCAAAAGACUAUGACUAAAACUAAAUUGAAAUUUGCUCCCAAAAUUAACACUGCACAGAGCAGUUGUGUAAGGAGCAAAAGAGACAGACCAGGGCUUGGGAGAGACACAUUGAGGGCCUGGGAGUACACAGAGACACAGAGGGGCUGGAGAAGGGGCAAAAGACUAAAACUAAAAUGUCUUUUUAGUCAAAAGACUAUGACCAAAACUAAAUAAAAAUUUGCAGCCAAAAUUAAAGGACCACUAUAGGCACCCAGACCACUUCAGCUCAAUGAAGUGGUUUGGGUGCCAGGUCCAUCUAGAAUUAACCCUUUCUGCUGUAAACAUAGCAGUUCAGAGAAACGGCUAUGUUUACCUAUGGGUUAAUCCAGCCUUGUGCCGCGUUUACGCAUUCAGCCGAUGAUGGGGAAAGAAGGCGGAGAGUACCCAGCGCCGAGGGAGCCCGGCGCUGGAGAAAAGGUAUGUGUUGUUUUCCUGGCACUAUAGUGGUCCUUUAACACUGUGCAGUCAACUAAAAUUUGAUUCAAUGAAUCUCUAUGAGGAGAUGCUGAUUGGCCAGGGCUGUGUUUGACUUGUGCUGGCUCUGCCCUUGAUCUGCCUCCUUGACAGUCUCAGCCAAUUCAAUGCUUUUCUAUGGGGAAGCAUUAUUUGUUCAGAUCAUCACUUCUGAUGAUGUCAGCCAAGCAGGCAAAUCACGGGCAGAGUCAGCAGCAGACUGAAAUACAGAAGAGCUUUUGCUAUAUUUAGGGGGGCAAGGGGUGUGCAGUGGGGCUAGAUGGUGGUUUUGUGUUCCUGACCCUAUAGUGUUCCUUUAAUAUUAGAAUUCAAUCUAUACAUUGUGCUAGAAUUGCUAGAAAAUGUCUACAUUUCUCCAAAAUCAGAGGUUAAAAAACAGCCCUUUCCACCUCCCCUCAAUCAGUUCAGUCUGUGCUGACAUGUGCCGAUUAAAGAUAAGAAGGCUGUGUUCUACAUGUCUAUUAUCAGGGAAACCAUCGUCUACUUGAAUUGGGCUUAAGGGGUAGCAACGGUUGUAAGAGGAAGUAGGGAGGAGGGACAGGAUCUAAGUAAGAGCAGCACAAGGAACAGCAAGACGACAGGAGAGAAACAACCAUAAUGAAGGAGGGGUGUGUCUUGCAGCGCUAAAAACAUGUAUAAUAGCAGGAGAAAGAUGUAAUAGUAGUAAGGGAAGAAAAACUUAAUACUAUAACAUGAGUUAAGCCACUGCAAGGGAUUCUGGGUAGGUGUAUGUAGUAGUGAGAGCACUGUUAAAGUGAGAUUUCUGUGGGAAAGCAAGUCUUAUGGCUUGACUGGUGUGUGUUUUUGAGUUUAGCAAUGUAUUAACUAUCCACUUACUUCAGUUGCAAAGGGUUUUCAUCCACACUUUUUUACCCACCACAACUCGACUGGUAUGUACUUUACAAGUAACGCCAAGCCUCCAUAGCCUCAUCAUGGUGAUGAGUUGCAUUAACAACAAAACAGCUGUCCAUGAGUGGUUCACUGGCUUUGCUCCUCUUCCUGAGUUGUGUUUCAAAGUGUCAGAACUUAACUAUCGGCUUCUCUGAUAAUCCGACACUUCCGGGUUCAUGGACCAAUGACACGCCCCCUUCUCUGACGCGGCUUCCUCACGCUACUAAGAGGAACCGCGCCAGAUUCAAAGUGCUUGGUUAUUUUGAAGCUUCCUGAACUUCUUACCGGCUUCAAACAAUCUCUCUCUAAACUUCUGAACGUGUACCGAACCUGGACUGUUCAUACCUUGGAUCUCCAUCCUUCUUCUAUUGACCAUGGAUUACCUUUGGAAUACUUACUGCUUUGUGAAACCUUCCAAGUAAUGGCAAGUUAUAGAUUUGGAUUAAUCCUCCUACUGGCACUUCAAUACUUACUGCUUAAUUAUUUUCCAUGCCUCCUUAGUUGAAUUAGUAGACAAACUAUCUACAUAUUGUAUUCCCUAAAGCUACAGGAACUCUUCUCAUCAAACACCCUACAGAUUGUAUUCCUUAAAGCUAGAGGAACUCUUCUCAUCAAACACUCUACAUAUUGUAUUCCUUAGAGCUACAGAAACUCUUCUCAUCAAACUAUCUGCAUGUCGUGUUCCUGAAAGCUACAGGAUAUCUUCUCUUCAAACCAUCUACCUAUUUUAUUCCUUAAAGCUACAGGAACUCUUCUCAUCAAUCUAUCUUCAUACUGUUUCAUUAAAGCUACAGGAACUCUUCUUAUCAAUCUAUCUUCAUACUGUUUCAUUAAAGCUACAGGAACUCUUCUGAUCAAACUAUCUACAUGUAGUGUUCUUUAAGGUUACAGGACUCAUCUCACCAAUCUAUCUUCAUAUUGUAUUCCUUAAGCUACAUGAACUCUUCUCAUCAAUCUACCUUCAUACUGUAUUCAUUAAGGUUACAUAAACUGUUAUCUUCAAACUAUCUUCAUAUUGUGUUCAGUAAAGAUCCAUGGACUGUUAUCUUCAAAUUAUCUUCGUAUUGUAUUCCUUUAAAUUACAAGAACUGUGCAAUCCUCCUUCUCGUAAAACUCCUUAAUGAAGAAUUGUUCCAUCUAAAAUCUAAUUUUAUUAAGACACGGAGGCUCCUAUUAUGCUGCACUCUUUAUUUACCUCAGCAGCAAAGAAAAAUAACAUUAAAUCAGUAUAAAAGAAACCAGUAAAUAACAUGAGGUAUAUCCUCCUAGCAACAGGAACAGCCAAUCAGCAUCCUCUUUAUAGCAUAAUAGGCAGUGUCCCGUAUACUACUUCCUCUUUCUUUGCUGCUACCUCAGUUAAGUGACACUGGGUCCCAAGGUUCUUAACUGUAGGAUCUUCUUUAUUCAUAUCAUUACUGUGGUUAAUAUAGUUAUUAUAGUUAUUACAUUUUAAUUAUAAUAUUUUCAUGUUUAUAAAUAAAUUUAGUCAUUUCAUUUUAACUUAAUUUGAUUUAUUUACUUCAUUUGCGUCUGUUAUAUGCUUUAUUAUAUAUCCUUUGAUAAUUUCUUUCCCCUCUGAUCUCCCUGGCCCCAAGAUUGCCAUCAAUUGGGGCUCAGGGGCGCCUUUGAGGAUCUUUAUCCCCUGAAUAGUGCCAUUGUGCUGUUUUUUCCCUUCAUUUAUCUGUCUGGUCGCUGCUCUCCUACCAACUGCCAGAAAUCCAAGUUGGGGUUUAGUUGUAGUGGCAGCCGGGCAGCUCCUGUGUUUUUAUAUUACAAUUGCUAUUUUUUCACUAUUGUGAGUACUUUCAUUUCUUUAUCCUGUUUAGUUAUUUAUUGAUUUUUUACUUGAGGGUUACUCAACCCUUUCCUUUUGGUAUUAUUUUACUUUAUUCAUCCCCUUAGGUUUGUUUGUAAAUUAACGAUGCAGUCUGACAGGAUCUUUCUGUGCCUUCUGGGUCUACAGCAAACACGCAGAUUAAUGUAGAAGCCUCUCCAGGUAUCUCAGGAGAUGAGGCUGAAUUUCUGCUUUACUGAUCCUGCUGACAUGCAGGCUUUAAUUGACAUUUCCAUGGCAAAAGCAAUGGCAAGGCCCUGGUAUCAGGCUGAAAUGCCUUAUAUAAGGCUAAACACUUCUCCAAAACAAUAGAGAUGGACAGUAACAUACCUGUCACGAAUGGCGCAAUUAAUUUACCACUGCGCGAAAGAGCUACUAGUCGGGCAAAAUCGAUUAGACUUUGGAAAAGGGCAAAAGCCCAAUUGAACUCUGAAUCCGAACUCAGUGAUAUUGAGGAGGAGUUCCUGAGUUCUAUAUGGAGGUGUAUCUGUACUCACAUCUGCUCUGCUUCAGCCUGGCCGCAAGGCCUCAUAUAAGGCUAAACACUCCUCCAAAACAAUAGAGAUGGACAGUACCAUACCUGUCAUGGAUGGCGCGAUUAAUCUACCACUGCGCAAAAGAGCUACAAGUCGGGCAAAAUCGACUAGACUUUGAAAAAGGGUAAAAGCCCAAAUGAACUCUGAAUCUGAGCACAGUGAUAUUGAGGAGGAGUUCACUGAGUCCUAUACGGAGGAUUCAGUGAUAUUUCUGAUCCUGAUUAUGAAAUUACUUAUGAACAGAAUGCUAAUCCCAUUUGGGAUACACGUCCUGUUAAACCUACCAAGGUUUAGGUAGAUUAUGCAGACUCAGGGACACCGAUAGGAUCUUGGACACUCAAUGUGAACCCCUAUUCGAACCUGACGACCUAUGUCACCCAGUGGUCUCGUCAGACCAUGUAGCCAAGUAUAUUGCAUCCAGAGUACGCAAGCCUUUUGAGAAGGCAAAGUGAAAUAAAUUGCGGGCUGAAUGGCCACGCCGAACAGUCCCUGAUGACUCAUGUAAAACGCUAUCAGUCGAUCCUAAGAUCAUUCAAUUCCUCAGUAAGACAGGAUGGAAGCCAUCUAAAGGCUUAGAUUUUCAUUGCAAAACUGUCGGGAUAAAAUCCUGGGCAUCUUGGGCUCAGCAGCCAAGAUCUUUAAAGCAGUAGAGGAUGAUCUAGAAUUAGAUUGCGCUAUCUUAAGUGGUUAGAUCCAGAGAGUGAUUUAAGUUGGCAACGCCAACAAUGCGGGUUUCACAGAACGCCACAAAUCGAUCUUGCUCAAGAUUGAGCCCAAAAGUUUAACUAUGGCUCUGAACAAGCCAGAUAACACAGGCAAAAGGUUUUCUCUUUGGGGACAACUUUGUAAAAGAAUUGGGCUUCUUUGUCCGGCUAAACAAACAGAAGUUCUUUUAGACAGAACCAAGGCUCUUAUACUUGCCGAGCCGAUUUCUUUAAACAAUGCACUAUACCAACCUCCUUCCCACAAAGUGGUCGACCCUGGGUUGUUAGUGGCCUAAGAGGUGCUCCUAAGAAGUCUUCACAAUUUCCAUUCUUCCUUACUGAUAGUGGGGGGCAGGCUCACACAUUUUUCUCAUGUAUGAUACCUCAUUUCAUCAGAUGCUUAGGUUCUUCACACUGUGAAAGGGUAUUGCAUAGACUUCCUUUCUCUACCUGUUCAAUGUUCCCCAUCAAGGGAAAUUGUUUUUUCCCAAUGAGACGCAGACCUUGUCUCCGUGGCAGGGGUGGACUGACAGUGCCUCGGGCCCCUGGGCAAAACUAGGACAUGGGCCCCUUACAGUUUAAUAUAUAUGCUGGUACACAUGAUAGUGUAUAUGUACCGUGUAUUUGAUUAUAUGUGCAUGUAAAGUGAAUGCACACUAUUCACUGUGAGCCCUGGUGUAAGCAAAUAUAUGUAUUUAUAUAUGUAUUUUUGUGUGUUGUAUCAGGAUCCGUGGAUUCAGAGUAUAUUUUUUUUAGGGUAGUAUUUAUGUGUGUUUGUGUAGCAUGGCUGUACCAACUACUAUAGUCACCAAAACAACUACAGCUUAAUUUAGUUGUUCUAGUGUUUAUAGUCAGUCUCUGCAGGCAUUUUAAUGUAAACCCUGCCUUUUCAGAGAAAAGUGCUUACAUUGCUGACUAGAGACACUAGAUGUGCUUCCUGGGUCAGUGAUAGGCAAUGAGCAGCACUGAUGUUCAGUGUCUCCAUGCUCUGCAUGGAGGUGCUGAACUUUCCCCACAGAGAUGCACUCUAUGAGUACAUGCUAAUUGGCGUAAGCAGCGUUUUGCCAUGCGUGCGCAUUAGCUUCCCAAUGCUUUAUUAUGAGAAAGCAAUGGAAAGGCUGAGAUCUCAACCAAGGGGCAGAGCAUGGGCUGCGCCAGCACUGGCUGAACUGGAAUAACGGUACGUUUAUUACCUUUUUAAGAGGGGAAGGGGUGUGCUGGUGACCCAAAUGGCGUUUUUAACACUAUAUAUGCAAGUUUGUAUUCUGACCCUAUAGUGUUCCUUUAAAUACACUUUUUUUAAAAUUUAUUUAUUGUUUUUAUUCAUUCUAGUAUGUCCAGGACAUCAGCAUGUGUAUACAGGGGCAUACUUAUUGAGAGUCUGUAUGUGUGUGUAAAUGCAAGACCAAAUUAGCAUGUAGUUAGUGGGUGAACCCAGGUUUGCAUGUGUGGAAGGUCAGUAUACGUAAAAAACCAUGGGCAUGUAGUGGUUAUAUUGCGGAAAAGAGGUAAUGGGGGUAAUAGAAGCCAUUAAGUGUUCAGGGGAGGGAUAGGGGCUGUAAUAGGUGCAGAGAACAAUGGAGGCUACAGGGGGUAAUGAGAGCUUUAGUAUAUAUAAGGGUUAAUAGGGGAUGCAGUGAGUGCAGGGGGUAAUAGGGUCUGUAGAGGGUAACAGGGGCUAAAGUCUGUGCAGGCGGUAUAGGGGUUGUAGUUAGUGCAGUUGCUGUAGUGGGUGCAAGGGAUAAUAAGGCUUGUAAUGGGUGUAGGGGUUGUAGUGGGUGCAGGGGGUAAUAGGGUUUGUAGUGGGUGCAGGAGAUAUAGGUGCACAGGGUUGUAGGGACUCUAGUCUGUGUAGGGGAUAAUAGGGGUUGUAGUAUGUGUAGGGAGUGAUAGGGGUUGUAGUAUGUCUAGCGAGUCAUAGGGGUUGUAGUAUGUGUAGGGAGUAAUAGAGGUUGUAGUAUGUCUAGCGAGUCAUAGGUGUUGUAGUAUGUGUAGGGAGUAAUAGGGGUUGUAGUAUGUGUAGGGAAUAAUAGGGGUUAUAGUAUGUGUAGCAAAUGAUAGGGGUUGUAGUAUGUUUAGGGAGUAAUAGCGGUUGCAGUAUGUGUAGCGAGUAAUGUGGGGAAAAAGAGAAAAGUUAAAUAAUGUGUCCCCCCCUCCCUGAGCCUUACCUUUGUCCAUGGAGGGAGGAAUCCUUAUCCCUGGUGGUCCGGUGGCAGAAUAAGCUUGUUUGCACCCCUGGCCGGCCAUGGUACUGGAGUGGGGUCAGGCUGCCUGUAACACUGAAAGAGCAGCUCCGCAUGGGGCUGCUCAGUUACAGGCAGCCUGCAUGCUGUGUUCAGCUCACGGCAGAGGCUCUGCUCCUGGAGCCUUUGACAAUUUUUUUUUCUAGCCCACAGGCAGCACUUUCGGACAGGCACAGUGAGAGACAGCCUGGGGGGUCUUUGAUAAGGCUCCUGGGCUGUCUCUCAGUGUGCUACAAGCGCUCUGCUGCGGCCGACCAAGGGGGGAAAGUAUUUAAUAACAGGGGCCCGCAGAAGGUCAUUAGGGCCCCUCACUUAGUGCAGGCUGGCUGGGGAGCUUGUUGAGCUCCUCAGUUGAGCCAUUACAAUGCUGCAGGCAGGCGGGCCCCCAAGAGCCUCGGGCCCUCGGUCCAUGACCGAUGUGCCCGAGUGCUCAGUUCGCCCCUGCUCCGUGGACAAUCAAUCGUAGAGAUUCCGGCCCAUACCCUGGAUUAUGUGAGCAACCUUUUCUUGUUUCCCAAAAAAGGCAAAGGUAUCCAUCCAGUGAUAAAUUUGAGACUGCUCAAUAGUUAUGAGCAUAUCAGCACUUCCAAGAUGGAAGGAGAGCAUUGUUUAAGGGAUCUUCUCCAACCAGAAGAUUGGAUGGCCAAAUUGGAUCUGCAGGAUGUAUAUCUCACAGUGCCUAUCCCAGUACAUCAUCAAGAUCUUCCUGCAAUUUACAUGGUAGGGCAGUAAAUAGAGGUUCAGGUGCCUCCUAUUCGGACUGUCUUUGGCUCCAUGGUGCUUCACCAAGCUCACGUCUUAUAAUAUAUUUAGACAGCAUUUUCAUUCUGGCUCAGUCUAUUCAAUUAAUCCGGACAUACCUUGCAUGGACUUUGACUCUGUUAGAGAACCUAGGCUUCCUGAUCAGUUGGGAGAAAUCCAUUAUCGUUCCCACGCAACAAAUCAAAUUUCUGGGUUAUAUUGGAUUUUUGUAGAUUCUACCCUUCAAACUUCAAACACACCUUCCUGUGGCAAAAUUAGCCAAUAUCAAGAAGGAGAUAGGCGAACACUAGCAACCUCUCAACUCUCUCUCAAACAACUGUUGAGAAUGUUAGGCCUUCUAGCGGCAUCUAUACAGGCCAUUUUUCCAGGUCCUCUUGGCUAUCGAGCCCUACAACGAUUACAAACGUCAUCUCAAGGGCAGCGCAUCAUACACAGAUAUGGUAACUCUGGACUCAGAAGAGGAGGAUGAACUCCAAUGGCGGCUUCUUCACAUGGAAGCUUGGAAUAAGCGCACCAUAUUUUGUACAGCUCCAGAUUUGAUAAUCAAAUCCGACGCAAGUUUGCACGGUUGGGGUGCUCAAUGCGGAACUAUUUCCACCAAGGGCAGAUAAUCAAACCUGGAAUCGACACUCCACAUCAAUUGUUUGGAACAUCUGGCGAGUUCCUUUGCAUUCCACAGUUUCUCCCCAACUCAAGCCCAAUGCGCUAUCCUUCUGAAGAUGGACGUGUCAGCAGUCAGCUACAUCAAUCACUUGGAGGCACAAAAUACAAAACUUUGACCUACAUGCCUCGUGAUUGCUGGCAAUUUUACCUGAGACACAGCAUUUCUGUCAUGGCAGAAUAUAUUCAAGGUCUCUCCAACACUACAACUUCCCUGUUAUUUUCAGUUGGAGACCAGAUCCAAUAGCACUGGCUAUGAAUGUUUUCUCCAAGUAAUUACGAUUUUCUGCUCUUUGCACUGAUUCCCUGUUGCCUUUCCAUCUACAUCGCCAGUCCGGCACCUGGUGAUCGUGGUUCCUCUAUCGCCGUCCCAACCAUAGUUCUCUCCUCUUCAGGAGAUGGUUAUUGACCUUCCAUCUCUCGAGUGCCUUCUUCAGGAUCCAGACGGUGUACCUCAUCCUCUUGUUCUCCAAGGUCUCUUGCAUCUCAUAGUGUAGUCUAUUUCAGGGAACCUUGGUCAGUCAAGGGAGUUUCGCAAUCAACUCCCCAACUUAUCAAGGGUGCACCCAACAUGAGACAGGCAUAUAAAUCUGCUUGGAGCAGAUGGCAUAGUUGGUGCAUGAAAUUAAAUUUAAAUCCCAUAUCGGCUCCUUUUAUGUCUGUCCUCCAUUUUUCUGACUUCUAUGAUGAAGGUAAAGCCUAACGCACUGUGGACCUUACCGAUCGUCCAUUUCUGCUGGCCAUCAAAGUUUCGAUUGGACGGACGCCUGUCGGUUGACAUCCUGUCAUAUAUUGACUUCUCUGAGGCAUAUGGUUUGCUCAUCCACCCUUACCACGAUACUCUGUCUUGUGGGACGUCUCUAUUGUUUUUAAUUUUUUUCUUGCAAGAGGUUUUUAUGACAUACGAGCUCUUGAGGUGGUUGCUUGUUCCUUUACUCCAGAAGGUGCCCUCUUUGACAUUUCACGGAGGACAAAAACCUCCUCUAAAAUCAAUUUUACCCAGUUUUCCCUGAUAGAUCUCUCCUUUGCCCUGUUGCAUACUAAUGGGUGUGUGAACAUCGUUCCACUACGUUACGGAAUCCUUUGAAACAGGAACUCUUCAUCUCCUUCCAAAAGUCGCGUCUUCUGGUGUCUACUCUAGCCUGGUGGGUCAAAUAUGUUAUGUCUCUAGCAGAUACCCAUGUGUCUGUGCCUCAUUCGGUUCAUUGGGCAAUGGCUUCUAAGGCUUGCUCGAUUGGUUGUCGCUUGGAGGAUAUUAUGAGAGCGGCUGGUCUUCGGAGUCUACAUUCCAUGAUUUCUACUUUAGACCUAUUCAACACUUCACAGGAGAUAUAAUUUCACAGCUUUGAACUAGCAUAAUAGGAGCCUCCGUGUCUUAAUAAAAUUUACAGAUUUUACUAUUAACAUGAUGUAAAGUCAUGAUUUUAUUACUGACACGGAGGCGAGUAUUAUCCCUCCCUCCCAUCCCUGGAGGUUUGGUCUUCUCUGGGUAAGUUGACUUCACGGUAAGUCUUUUUUGACUACUGGGUUUUAUCCUUGUUGAUGACUGUCAAGAGCUUAAGGUUUGACUAAACUGAAUUUCAUGUUAUGUAUGUAUAUCUGAUAUUCCAUGUAAUGCAAAUUGAUGCAUAAAUUCAGUUUUAUACUUGGAUAUUACCAUAUUCUCCUUUCUCUUCCAGCUUGACUUCAAGAUCCAGUUUAAGGCUCGUAUACCCUCUAAUUGGAGCCCACUUUCUAUUUGGAUUUGUUGUCCUUGUUCGGGAUCGCAAGAAAGAGGAAGUAGUAUACUGGAC